GUCCAGGAGCCAACAGCCUCUCUGUGCAAACCAGACAACCCUGCAGGAACUGUGCUUGAAGAAACCGUGGAAACUGCCCCCAACCCUCCCGUCUCUAUUUCUUUCUCUGUUUUAUUAUCUCAUUCUUGGCUGUGAGGUAAACAGGAGAAAAUGAGAAGGUGGUUCUGGAGGACCCGACCGAAUUUGCUUUCGUGACAGGGUCAAGCGCCCUUUCCUCGCCGGCCGCAGCCCUCACCAAAGGGGAUUUGGGGGCCUCCGGACAGGGGUCCUGAAGGUUUUGAAUUGUUCAAUCUCUGGGGGUACAGGAACCCCUGCAGGAGGUUUCAAAGGCAAGAGUUUCGCAGAGAGAAAAAAACCAUGAACUUUGCAGGUUGGUGGCGGAAUCUGGUGAUUUAAGAAAACGUGUUUAAGCCUCGGCCGGGCCGCGCCUGGGCUGUCUGCGGUGCUCUUCCGGAAUUCUCUACAAUAUCUGGAAGUGACCAAGAAAAUUCCAGAACCCGGAGGCUGCGCCGUGGAGAUAAACAUGGGCACCUGGGUAUGUUUGUUUUUAUUGUUAGGACCUAUUUUAUCACAAGCAAAAAAAAGGAAGCUGCCCAGAAAUCCAGGGGUGAUGGAUAGAAGGCGAUGGGGCCUGCAGUGGCCCAACGGAUUCUAGAAUUUUCCUCUAGGAAGAUGCCCGGGAAUUUUAACCCUGUUGGCUCGACCCAGAAGCUCGGGGUGGCAGGGAAAGGAUCACUGUGGCCUUCCUUCCUUCCUUCCUUCCUUCCUGGAAUUUCGCUCUGUUGCCCAGGCUGGAGCGCAGUGACGUAAUCAUAGUUUGCUGCGGCCCUGACCCCAAUGGCACAAAUGAGCCUCCUGCCUCAAUCUCCUAAGUAGCUGGGA
This 882-nucleotide long non-coding RNA is filed under the name Homo sapiens (human). Its description in RNAcentral is "HSALNT0395543". The record is from RNAcentral. Lineage: Eukaryota; Metazoa; Chordata; Mammalia; Primates; Hominidae.